This is a long non-coding RNA of Ipomoea nil (Japanese morning glory), 389 nucleotides long. RefSeq lists it as uncharacterized. The record is from RefSeq and is a predicted model, not a curated record. NCBI's taxonomy places the organism in Eukaryota, Viridiplantae, Streptophyta, Magnoliopsida, Solanales, Convolvulaceae. The transcript has 2 exons.
UCGAGAUUGAUAGAGCGGUGGGGCUUACUGUGCACCAAGUCGAGAAAUUGAGGGAAAUGAGCCCCCUUUAUGAGAUGGUUAAGGAGGGUAUUGACAUUAAGAGUAUCGAAUGGACACAACACUGAAUGGUUGCAUUCUUUGGGCAUUUUCUGCUACUGACAAUGAUUAACCAGAGAUGAACACGCUAGGUGAGGUUGCAGAUCAGGCAUAGAGACUGCAAGCAAUCAAGGUUUUGUCCAAGAAUGCGCCCAUUACAUGCUUCUUUAUGUUUUGUUCUGCAGGAUAAAUAUUGCAAGUGAAUUGGUAUUUAUAUAUCAUACAUUGGCAGUCCCAUAAUUCAGCUGUGUUGAUAUUGAUUGAUGUUUUAAGAUUUUGGGUGUGCAGAUUUU